Molecule: unclassified non-coding RNA, 252 nt
Filed under: plant metagenome
Description: partial contains small subunit ribosomal RNA, internal transcribed spacer 1, and 5.8S ribosomal RNA
Source: RNAcentral
UUUCCGUAGGUGAACCUGCGGAAGGAUCAUUAUUGGAUUUUGAAACUUCAGGCUGCUGCUGGCUCUCCUCGGAGGGCAUGUGCACGCUUGUUGUCCAUUAUUUCUCCCACUGUGCACAAAUUGUAGACCUUUCAGUAGGCCUAUGUUGUUUUUCACAAUCUCUGAAUGUAAUAGAAUGGUUUUGAAUCUUGGGAAAUACAAUACAACUUUCAGCAACGGAUCUCUUAGCUCUCGCAUCGUGAAGAACGCAGC